Molecule: ribosomal RNA, 444 nt
Filed under: uncultured bacterium
Lineage: Bacteria
Description: bacterial SSU rRNA
Rfam family: Bacterial small subunit ribosomal RNA
Source: RNAcentral
GACGAACGCUGGCGGCGUGCCUAACACAUGCAAGUCGAACGGAACUGUUUUGAAAGAUUUCUUCGGAAUGAAUUUGAUUUAGUUUAGUGGCGGACGGGUGAGUAACGCGUGAGUAACCUGCCUUCAAGAGGGGGAUAACAUUCUGAAAAGAAUGCUAAUACCGCAUGAUAUAUCGGAACCACAUGGUUUUGAUAUCAAAGAUUUUAUCGCUUGAAGAUGGACUCGCGUCCGAUUAGUUAGUUGGUGAGGUAACGGCUCACCAAGACCGCGAUCGGUAGCCGGACUGAGAGGUUGAACGGCCACAUUGGGACUGAGACACGGCCCAGACUCCUACGGGAGGCAGCAGUGGGGGAUAUUGCGCAAUGGGGGCAACCCUGACGCAGCAACGCCGCGUGAAGGAUGAAGGUUUUCGGAUUGUAAACUUCUUUUAUUAAGGACGAAACU